RNAcentral lists this long non-coding RNA (649 nucleotides) under Buteo japonicus. RNAcentral's name for it is "lncRNA (ENSBJAG00000013417.1)". The record is from RNAcentral. Lineage: Eukaryota; Metazoa; Chordata; Aves; Accipitriformes; Accipitridae.
AGAGAUAGAGGAAAAUAAUAGCAUAUUAUAUGAAGCAGAGACUUCUGAAGAGAUAUUUGAACCCCUUGUGAAAGAUGAAGCCCAACUGUGUGGACAAUUUAUUACAGAAAACAAUAGCAGCGGCCCAGAGAGACCCUAGGACACUUGACUGCCAACCAAAGUCUCCAGGCUCAAGAAGUCUUCAUGAGGAUGAUACCAACUUUAUCAGAGAAGGAAAUUUUCAAAAGAAGUCUAACAUUAUUAAAGAGUCAAGAAUAGAUCAGCCCUGUAAGUGAAAGUAAAAGUAGAAUGGCAGUGACUGGCCUCAGAACAAUUAUUCCCCACGACUUCUGUCCUUUGCCUAUUUUUCCUAGUAUUGGCAAUGAAUGUGUAUUCUGAAGUUCCACCACGGACAAUGUCAGGCUCACCUUCACGUUCUGAUUUGAGACAAACACAGUGGACUUCAUGGGAACCUGACGAGGUGUGAAUUGACUGUUGCUUCUAGAUCUUUUUGGCUUUAUUUCCUGUGUGUUCAUGGUAGCAAUUUCUUAUUUUUGAAAGUGUUUAAUCUCAACUCUGAGAGACAUUUCAAUUGUUUAGAAUGAUGAGAGAGAAAGAAUAGUGACAAAAGAGCUAUAAUUAAUGUUUUUUCCCAGUCAUUCACUUGACA